This 497-nucleotide ribosomal RNA is filed under the name uncultured bacterium. RNAcentral describes it as "partial 16S ribosomal RNA". It matches the Rfam family "Bacterial small subunit ribosomal RNA", at positions 28 to 507 of the family's 1533-position model. The record is from RNAcentral.
GAUGAACGCUGGCGGCGUGCCUAAUACAUGCAAGUCGAGCGAACAGAUGAGGAGCUUGCUCCUCUGACGUUAGCGGCGGACGGGUGAGUCACACGUGGAUAACCUACCUAUAAGACUGGGAUAACUUCGGGAAACCGGAGCUAAUACCGGAUAAUAUAUUGAACCGCAUGGUUCAAUAGUGAAAGACGGUUUUGCUGUCACUUAUAGAUGGAUCCGCGCCGCAUUAGCUAGUUGGUAAGGUAACGGCUUACCAAGGCAACGAUGCGUAGCCGACCUGAGAGGGUGAUCGGCCACACUGGAACUGAGACACGGUCCAGACUCCUACGGGAGGCAGCAGUAGGGAAUCUUCCGCAAUGGGCGAAAGCCUGACGGAGCAACGCCGCGUGAGUGAUGAAGGUCUUCGGAUCGUAAAACUCUGUUAGUAGGGAGGAACAAAAGUGUAAGUAACUAUGCACGUCUUGACGGUACCUAAACAGAAAGCCACGGCUAACUACGUG